AUGCAUGUUGGUACGAUUAUGGAGUCGAAUGAUGCAACUUUCUUUGAGGACAUAUUUCCUAUGAAGGAUAUGUCGAUUUCAUCAAAUCAGGAGAUACCUACUCCAUCUAGUGAGGAAUUCGCUGUAAUUCCUGAACCCACCAUUGCGAUGGAACACGUUGAGAAUCCUGUUGAGGGUGACAAUGGAACUCCUGUGAGGAGUAAGAGACAGAGGACUGCAAAGUCCUUUGGUGAUGAUUUCAUUGUGUACCUCGUGGAUGACACACCCAGGACUAUUUCAGAAGCCUAUGCAUCUCCUGAUGCUGACUACUGGAAGGAAGCUGUACGUAGCGAGAUGGAUUCCAUCUUAGCUAAUGGAACCUGGGAGAUCACUAACCGUCCUUAUGGGUGCAAACCUGUAGGAUGUAAGUGGGUGUUCAAGAAGAAGCUUAGACAUGAUGGUACGAUUGAAAAGUACAAGGCACGGCUUGUGGCCAAGGGUUAUACCCAGAAAGAAGGUGAAGACUUCUUUGAUACUUACUCACCCGUGGCUAGACUGACCACAAUUCGGGUGCUACUAUCACUAGCUGCCUCACAUGGUCUUCUCGUUCAUCAAAUGGACAUUAAGACGGCUUUCCUCAAUGGAGAGUUGAAGGAGGAAAUUUACAUGGAUCAGCCAGAUGGUUUUGUAGUACCUGGUCAGGAAGGAAAGGUGUGCAAGUUAUUAAAGUCUUUAUAUGGCCUUAAACAAGCUCCUAAGGAGUGA
RNAcentral lists this ribosomal RNA (744 nucleotides) under Triticum aestivum (bread wheat). RNAcentral describes it as "partial small subunit ribosomal RNA". The record is from RNAcentral. Lineage: Eukaryota; Viridiplantae; Streptophyta; Magnoliopsida; Poales; Poaceae.